UAGGUAGCAAAUUGUAUGUUUUAAAAAAUAAACAACUUUUUACAUAUUUUUACAAGUCAAAACUAUAAUAUAAAAAUAUGUUUUUUAAAAUCAAGGCAAUAUCAGUGUGGGUGGGCAGGCCUAAACCCAUCCUUGUCACAACCUUUAGCAGGGUAGGGAUUCUCCAUUGAGUUUGCUGGUGAGCAUGGAUUACCUGGUAGGACAGGAGAAAUUUGCAUUGGUGGGGGGCUUUUUAUUUGUUUGACAGUUAGAUGUAUGCCUUCAAAUGACUGCAGUCUUUUCUAAAGGUUGAGUCCAUAAUAGCUGUUAACCUUCACAGGAUAACUGGAUGAUUUGUGAGCUCAAAACAUUUUCCUCUUUCGCGCAGAACAAAUAUGCAUAAACAGAGGAAACAAGUUAUUUAAAUGUAUAAUGAAAUAUAUGAUGAAUAUUGUGUGCCAUUGUGUCUUUCCAACUCAAUGAUGAAUUUAGUCAAGCCCUAGAAGGAAGAGAUAGAGAAGAUACAGUGGUAUCAGCCCACCACUAUGCUGAUUGAUGUGCUUUGUUUUAACUUCUCAUUUCUGGCAUCUUACGUUGGAUAGAAAAUUUGCUUUAAUCUGCCAGCAUAUGGUGUCUUCUUAGACAUUAUACACUACAGAAUCCAAUUUCUUCUUCACUAAAGUGAAUUGAUAUUUUGACAUUCAAACAGGUAAAGACAGUUGAAGGAGUAA
This 710-nucleotide unclassified non-coding RNA is filed under the name Hevea brasiliensis (rubber tree). The record is from RNAcentral. Lineage: Eukaryota; Viridiplantae; Streptophyta; Magnoliopsida; Malpighiales; Euphorbiaceae.